This 22-nucleotide non-coding RNA is filed under the name Arabidopsis thaliana (thale cress). The record is from RNAcentral. Lineage: Eukaryota; Viridiplantae; Streptophyta; Magnoliopsida; Brassicales; Brassicaceae.
CGCCGUUUUCUUUAGAUCCACA